CUUGAUGGUUUAGGGUUUCUUUUUGGCCAAAAUGCAAUAGCACGCUGUAGAUAUCUAUCAAUUGCAUUCAUUAAGGCACAGAGAGCUUUCUAAAGUUCCCAUGACCUGUUUAUUAUUCAGGAGGUGUCUGUGUUUGAUGUGGUGGGCACAGAUUUGUUCCACCUGUUUGGUUCUCAGCUGAACUCCACUGGUGCAAAACUGCAGCCCAUUGUGCUAAGCACACUGGUCUCUUGGCAGGUUCAUUGUGAGUAAAUGGUAUGUAUCCCUCUAGCUGAGUAAGACCUUGAUGAACUUGUAUCAAAGGAUUUUCUGAACUCGUUUUAGGAGCAUGAUGUGAAUUAUAUAGAGCAGGUGUGAGUGCCAGAGGAACGCGGAGGUUGGUGUCACACUUCACAGCUGAAAGCCACCCACCAUCAAGGCUGCUUUUCAUGUGCUCUGCCAAUAUGAACCCUGCUGGAAACGGAAGUCUCUCUCAGGCUGUAUGUAAGCCUGAAGGGACAGAGCAGCCUUUUGAGGGAGGAAAUCAAAAACAUUGGAAAAAUUCCUGCUUCAAAUCAAGGAAGCAGUGAUGCUUGGAUGUGACCCUUUUUGUGCUAUAGGUACUGGGUUAGAGCUAUCCAACACCUGGACUCCUUCCUCCUGGAGAUAAAAUGUUUGACAGUGCCUUAAGGCUACAGGUAGAAGGGACAGCCUGUGACUUCCCUUCCAACAGAGCUCCAAAGCCACUACUAGUGACAGAGCUUUUGAAGGUGUGAAGAAAGAAAUUCAUAGUGAUUGUGACUCUUUCCUUUAACAAAGCAGUUUUGAAUGGCUCCUAUUGGUUAGACAAGGUUUAUAUUGUACACAUCCAAUAAUAUCAGCUAGCAAGUUAUCACUGUGUUUCUCAAGACACCGAUUUCUUAAUUGUUGUUCUUCUGACAACAUGUCCCUGGGUAUCUGGUGUUAGAUGCUACAGAAGACACCUAAGCUUCCAGCAGAAAUUACAGUGACUUACGGUGACUCUAUCUCUGGACCAGAGCAAAAUCAUGAAAUAAGUGUUUUGGGUAUUUCUGCUUUGUGAGCUGCGCUGGUUAAGUAUUGGAUUUUGUAUCUGUUUUUUUGUUUUUGUUUUUUUUUUUUUUGUAAACUGAGUUGGCUCUUCUGUAUCGAUCCUCUGUUGAGGAAAGGAAGCCCCAGGAAAAUACUGCCAUGAAAGGUUUCUGUGCUGUAGUCCCACUAAAUUAAAACGGAGGCCCUUCACCAUGGAAAUGUUGUCCCUCCAGGAGGAAGUUUCUCUAAUUAAAUCGGACCAGUUCCAGCACGUUUUGGUGAGCAGGUCUUUGCCCUCUUCCUCAAAGGGAGUUAGGAAUAGGGGCUGCCUACAGUAGUUCUGACAUAAUGUUUUGGUUUGGGGAGUGGAGAAAACAGAAAAAUAGCAGUAGCAGGAAUGUAGUAAGUUACUAACAGUGAUGAAAGAAGUCUGAAAGACUGCCAUACAAACAUAACUUCCUGAAAAGCUAGAUAAUUUCUUUGCUAUGUUGGCACACAUCUCAAAAAAGAAUGUAAGCUUUCUUAUAUAUUUCUGAUUUACUUAAAAAAAAAUAGGGAAGGUGGACUACAGUGUUACCCAAUAUCAGCACACUGUAUGUAAUUCUAAGGCAGUGAAGUUACAAAAUUCAGAGGCAGUUUGAUUUCAGUUUUUUAGAAGAUAUUAAACAAUACAGUGUGUAAUAACAGUUGCUACCUAUGAAGGGGAAGGAACAUUUUCUGCUAGUUCUUGAAUCAAGGAUUAUAUUUGCAGAAGUGACCUUGGUCAAGGCUUUUCACAGCUGUAACGUUCUAGGUCACCUUCCUAGUAGAUUUGGGUUCUGCUGCUGUAAACUAUUAAUGCCUACAUAUGCAGCCUCACAUGCAACAGUUAAUGUUUGAACAAAGCCUUCUGGCUUGAUCAACACCCCUCACAAUUAGCAAGUAAUUUAAAAAAAAAACAAAAAACAAAAACAAACAUUUUUUUUUCCCCACUUUCUCAAACCAGCAUAAAAUCCCUUAAACCUUAUUGCUUAAAUAAUGCAAGGGAAAAUCUCAGGUAAUGCACUAACAUCUCCAAACCAGAGUUAAUCUUUACAAUACACCUUUGAGAAAUAAUCUCCUUUUACCACUUUUCAGCAAGCAGGGCUAGCUUCAGCUCCUAGUAGGAAGAACAGGGCUAGCUCACAAGCAAAUACUACACUGGCAGCAGAACAGGACAAGAAGCAGAGCUGGGUUAACCAAAACUACUCUUUGACUUCUCUGUCAUCUUGAUUUGGCAGCUUGCUUUUCCCUUUGACCAGAGUCCAUUGUGCAAUACAUCAUCCUCUUACUCUUUGCAAUCUGGAACUAUAAUGAAGAAUGUGCUUAUUCUUUGAUUAAAAUGCUUCCAGCUGGGUUAAUUUGAAAGAACACAAUGUCACAAUGGAGUCUAGUCAAUGAACUAGCAAAAGAGGGAUAACAGAAUAGCAAAGUUAUUGCCAUGAAAUAAGUCUUACUUGACACCAGUAGCAGUCUUGGGAUGGUAAGAAUGAUGACUCCAGUUCUCCUGGUACGUUAUUAAGGAGUUAAGAAUAGGGUAGCAGAAAGGACUCCAGGGUGAAAAAGGUGAGAGCUACGGUUUGUCCAAGCCAGCAUUUAUUAGCCAAAUGACCUGCACAGGACUUGUAAGACCAUAGGUGAGUCAAAGGACUCUUUGGCAGUAAAUGCUUGAGGAGGGUUAGAUGUUAAAAAGCAGACACAACAGGCUCUUCAUUUUUCCCUCUCCUAUGUCAUGUGCCACCUCCGAAAUCAAGUGUGAAUAGUAUUUGUCUGCAUUAUUUUUCUAGUAGCCUCCUCUCUUCUACCAGUCUCCUCCUAUGUAAAUGCUUUUGGGUGCACAUUUCUACUUUGAUGAUGAGACUAAGCACAGGGAGCAAGAACAGAGGAGAAAGCUUUUCUUAGCCAGUCUGCUGCAUUCUGAAGUUCUUUUUUCAUAUGAGGGUGGCAUGGUUAUGUUGCUGCUUUCUUUUUACUUCAAAUAUUGAGUGAUAUCUGUGAUGGAAAUCACAGGAAUAUGAUGAUCUGUGAUGACUGCAGUGUAGAAGGAAUGUACUGAAAAUGCCUAAUAAACUCCUUACCACCCAGCAGUUAUGCUGGUACAGCACAGAGGGUAGCUGAGGUGCUGGUUAAUAAAACUGUUAUUGAAGUAAUUCUAAAAUUUUUCUCCUACUUUUCUGCCUUUUUCUUUUUUUCUUUUUUCCUGCUUUUCUGCUGGAUGGUAUGAGAAAUUCCUAAUUGUCCAUGUCAUGGAAGGGAUUUCACAGGAACAAAGGAGAGGGAAGAGGAAGUCUAGAGAAAAUAAUCUACACAUCUGAGCAUGGAGUCUUCCUUUGAAUCUAAACAAAUGUUAUUUUACCUUUUCUUUCCUAUAAAUGUGAAAGUUUUAGGACUGUAGUUACCUGAAGUGUUUUCCAUAUUCGUAGGUUUCAUCUAAGGAGAUUACUAACCUCUUGAUCCUAUGACCGUGCUGCCAUAUGCCAGCCUCUCUGUCACUGCAACCAUCUGUGGUGAUGCAUGCUGAAUUGUUCUCCCUUGCCAAAGGAUGUGGAAGGCCACUGACAACUCCUGUGUUCAGCAGCAGGUGCUAUACUGAAGAACUUGACAGGCUUUUCUGGACACAGUGACACAAAACCAGCAUCAGUGACAAUGCAGUGACAGACCAUUCAAGAAAACUGAAAGCACCUCUUGGAACUGGAGUAGGAGCCUUGAAGAGGGCAUGGAGCUCUGAUUUCUGCUUACGGCUGGGUUACGAAUUUUUGAGAGAUUACUUUACUUCCCAAAACGCAUUCCAGGAGACUAUUCCAGUCAGUCUUACCACAUUUGUCAGAAGUGCAAAAUAGCACAUUUAGAUAUCCAGUGUCUCCUCUUCCUGCUUUCCCAAUAAGAUCCUUAUGAAUUGUGCUUGUUCCUUCUUUUCCCCUUUUUCAAGAGGUAAAAGCUGUAGAUGUGAUGAAAGUUCAGACAUGUAAAUACUCAGCAAAAUUUAGUUCCCUGCAGGAAGAAAACCUGGCUGUCCUGAAUUCCUCGCUUCUGUGCACAGACUAGUCAUUUACAACUUCAAUAUGCUUGUCAUAGUUACUGUGUUGAUUAAGCAACACCUGUUUGCUAAUAAAUAUUCCAGUUGUUCUGAAGUAUAAAUCAGGGAGAGGGAAAGAUUGCAGAUCAUACCUUAAAGAACUGUCAAAGAAUAUGGAAAGUCUUUGAUGGCCUCUUGAACAAUGUAAUAUAUGCUCACAUUUUGAUUAGAGUAACAGUCUACUCCCAAGCAAGCCAGAAAGCAAAUUGUACCCUAAAGAAAGGUGUGUUACAGAAGACCAUGUUCUUAGAAAGCAACAGUAAGCAGUGUCUGCAAUAUCCAGUAGAUGAGAUGUUUCUAGGAUCUUGUGUCAACCUGUCUGUGAAAUCAAAUUGAACCACUGGCUCCCAAGGAACUUAUAAUGGGAGUAAUGUUCCCAUCUAAAAUACUGCUUUGUAAACCAAACAUCACUAAAUGCAUAUUACAUCUCCUUCAUCACUACUGCUAGGCAUCCCAGCAUACAAUUGAUAAUUAUAGCUGUACUUAUUAGUGGGAUUUUAGGCAAUGAAACAUUAACUCCCCAAUGUCAUUUACUAUGCCAGUUAUGAAAUCAGUAUCAAAUUAGUCACAUUUCUGUCAGUGUUUAGUUACUCUACGCAAAGAGAUUCUCUUGAGCUCAGUACCCUUGUCAUUGCUAACUGAAGCAAAAGGAGAAAUAAAAUUGUCUUUCAGCCAGUCUGCACUGACAUAUGGAGGAGGUAUAUUCUCUUCCUUCUGACUAGUAAUAUAGGAUGAGUAAAGAACAUGCAUGUUUCUGGACCUGCUGUACACAUCCAACUUAAGAUGUGUGUAUGUGGCAUGCCUUGAAAUCUGACCUUUGCUUCCAGUUGAUUUGUGGUAUUUGGUUGAGUCAGCAGAGGAGUCAAAAUGAGUCGCAACUGAAUGGUUUGAGUAAAGGGAGCCAAUGGUUGUGCCUGGUGAUACAGUAUGAGAAAUGGAAAGCAAUUCAGAGUAAACUCGGGAGAUUGGCAUUAAAACAUUGAAAGUUGCAGCUUAUAGACACCAACAGACUUCUGCUAGGCUUGUAGUAUUAUUCUGUUAGUAAUAUGAAGACAUGUUUUGGACUAUGGACAAUGUAUUAAGUGAUAAUAAUGCUGAUUUAAUUCUACAAAGUGCUCAUUAUUUACACUUGAUGCACAUCUAGUGCCAUCUCAAAGGCAUAUUUGUAACUUAGCGCACUGAUCUGCAUGAUCCUGAACAUUCUGAAACCAAGGAUGACUGAUACAAAAUCCAGUAGGCUCUGCAAUGGGAAGACAUGGAAUUGAUAUGAUAAAUGGAGCAAUUUAAUAAAUGUAGUUAUGUAUGUGUGUGUUCUGUUUUCAUGGACGAUGACAUUUUGCCCUGUGAAGAACCUGGCUAAAGCCCAGGCAAUACUCGUGGACCGUUUAAGCUCUAGCCCUUUGACUUACUUGGAACACUAUCAUAGUGUGGUUUUGGACUACUCACUCUAGAGUGGAAUUUCACCCUUUGGGUUUAAAUUAUCACACUUUGUUGCAAAAACCUGGUGAAAAGAGUUUGAAUAUUACAGAAGUCUUCAAAUA
Molecule: long non-coding RNA, 5664 nt
Organism: Pezoporus occidentalis (night parrot)
Lineage: Eukaryota; Metazoa; Chordata; Aves; Psittaciformes; Psittacidae
Exons: 2
Source: RefSeq, a predicted model, not a curated record